CCUGUGACAUACCAAUUGUUGCCUCGGCGGAUCAGCCCGCUCCCGGUAAAACGGGACGGCCCGCCAGAGGACCCCUAAACUCUGUUUCUAUAUGUAACUUCUGAGUAAAACCAUAAAUAAAUCAAAACUUUCAACAACGGAUCUCUUGGUUCUGGCAUCGAUGAAGAACGCAGCAAAAUGCGAUAAGUAAUGUGAAUUGCAGAAUUCAGUGAAUCAUCGAAUCUUUGAACGCACAUUGCGCCCGCCAGUAUUCUGGCGGGCAUGCCUGUUCGAGCGUCAUUUCAACCCUCAAGCCCAGCUUGGUGUUGGGACUCGCGAGUCAAAUCGCGUUCCCCAAAUUGAUUGGCGGUCACGUCGAGCUUCCAUAGCGUAGUAGUAAAACCCUCGUUACUGGUAAUCGUCGCGGCCACGCCGUUAAACCCCAACUUCUGAAUGUUGACCUCGGAUCAGGUAGGAAUACCCGCUGAACUUAAGCAUAU
Molecule: ribosomal RNA, 479 nt
Filed under: Fusarium fujikuroi
Lineage: Eukaryota; Fungi; Ascomycota; Sordariomycetes; Hypocreales; Nectriaceae
Description: eukaryotic LSU rRNA
Rfam family: 5.8S ribosomal RNA (bases 126-279)
Source: RNAcentral